This 246-nucleotide ribosomal RNA is filed under the name uncultured bacterium. RNAcentral describes it as "partial small subunit ribosomal RNA". It matches the Rfam family "Bacterial small subunit ribosomal RNA", at positions 26 to 285 of the family's 1533-position model. The record is from RNAcentral.
AGAAUCAACGCUGGCGGCGUGCCUAACACAUGCAAGUCGAACGAGAAAGUGGUAGCAAUACCAUGAGUAAAGUGGCGCACGGGUGAGUAACACGUGACUAACCUACCCUGGAGUGGGGAAUAACUGGGAGAAAUCCUAGCUAAUACCGCAUAACACCUACGGGUCAAAGGAGCAAUUCGCUUCAGGAGGGGUCGCGGCCGAUUAGUUAGUUGGCGGGGUAAUGGCCCACCAAGACGAUGAUCGGUA